RNAcentral lists this ribosomal RNA (1294 nucleotides) under Staphylococcus aureus. RNAcentral's name for it is "bacterial SSU rRNA". It matches the Rfam family "Bacterial small subunit ribosomal RNA", at positions 1 to 1276 of the family's 1533-position model. The record is from RNAcentral. Lineage: Bacteria; Bacillati; Bacillota; Bacilli; Caryophanales; Staphylococcaceae.
UUUAUGGAGAGUUUGAUCCUGGCUCAGGAUGAACGCUGGCGGCGUGCCUAAUACAUGCAAGUCGAGCGAACGGACGAGAAGCUUGCUUCUCUGAUGUUAGCGGCGGACGGGUGAGUAACACGUGGAUAACCUACCUAUAAGACUGGGAUAACUUCGGGAAACCGGAGCUAAUACCGGAUAAUAUUUUGAACCGCAUGGUUCAAAAGUGAAAGACGGUCUUGCUGUCACUUAUAGAUGGAUCCGCGCUGCAUUAGCUAGUUGGUAAGGUAACGGCUUACCAAGGCAACGAUGCAUAGCCGACCUGAGAGGGUGAUCGGCCACACUGGAACUGAGACACGGUCCAGACUCCUACGGGAGGCAGCAGUAGGGAAUCUUCCGCAAUGGGCGAAAGCCUGACGGAGCAACGCCGCGUGAGUGAUGAAGGUCUUCGGAUCGUAAAACUCUGUUAUUAGGGAAGAACAUAUGUGUAAGUAACUGUGCACAUCUUGACGGUACCUAAUCAGAAAGCCACGGCUAACUACGUGCCAGCAGCCGCGGUAAUACGUAGGUGGCAAGCGUUAUCCGGAAUUAUUGGGCGUAAAGCGCGCGUAGGCGGUUUUUUAAGUCUGAUGUGAAAGCCCACGGCUCAACCGUGGAGGGUCAUUGGAAACUGGAAAACUUGAGUGCAGAAGAGGAAAGUGGAAUUCCAUGUGUAGCGGUGAAAUGCGCAGAGAUAUGGAGGAACACCAGUGGCGAAGGCGACUUUCUGGUCUGUAACUGACGCUGAUGUGCGAAAGCGUGGGGAUCAAACAGGAUUAGAUACCCUGGUAGUCCACGCCGUAAACGAUGAGUGCUAAGUGUUAGGGGGUUUCCGCCCCUUAGUGCUGCAGCUAACGCAUUAAGCACUCCGCCUGGGGAGUACGACCGCAAGGUUGAAACUCAAAGGAAUUGACGGGGACCCGCACAAGCGGUGGAGCAUGUGGUUUAAUUCGAAGCAACGCGAAGAACCUUACCAAAUCUUGACAUCCUUUGACAACUCUAGAGAUAGAGCCUUCCCCUUCGGGGGACAAAGUGACAGGUGGUGCAUGGUUGUCGUCAGCUCGUGUCGUGAGAUGUUGGGUUAAGUCCCGCAACGAGCGCAACCCUUAAGCUUAGUUGCCAUCAUUAAGUUGGGCACUCUAAGUUGACUGCCGGUGACAAACCGGAGGAAGGUGGGGAUGACGUCAAAUCAUCAUGCCCCUUAUGAUUUGGGCUACACACGUGCUACAAUGGACAAUACAAAGGGCAGCGAAACCGCGAGGUCAAGCAAAUCCCA